AUGGGGGCACUGGGAGACAUGGAGGCACUAGGAGACAUGGGGACAGUGAGACACUGGCAGACUGGGGGCACUGAGACACCAGGGACACUGGCUGGGAGACAUGGGGACACUGUGUCCCCAUGUGUCUGUGUCAUAAUGUCUCCCAAUGUCCCUUAGUGUCUCAGUGUCUGCCAUAAUGUCUCCCAGUGUCCCUUAGUGUCUCAGUGUCUGCCAUAAUGUCUCCCAGUGUCCCUUAGUGUCUCAGUGUCUGCCAUAAUGUCUCCCAAUGUCCUUAGUGUCUCAGUGUCUGCCAUAAUGUCUCCCAGUGUCCCUUAGUGUCUCAGUGUCUGCCAUAACGUCUCCCAGUGUCCCUUAGUGUCUCAGUGUCUGCCAUAAUGUCUCCCAAUGUCCCUUAGUGUCUCAGUGUCUGCCAUAACGUCUCCCAAUGUCCCUUAGUGUCUCAGUGUCUGCCAUAACGUCUCCCAAUGUCCCUUAGUGUCCCAGUGUCUGCCAUAAUGCCUCCCAGUGCCCCUUAGUGUCUCAGUGUAUGUCUCCUUGCAGCCUUUCCCCAUCCCUUACUUCCCUGAGCUGUAGGCUGUCUCUGCAGGGUGGGAGUUGCUGUCUGGACUCUCUCUAGCUGCACCCCUG
Molecule: non-coding RNA, 627 nt
Organism: Pelobates cultripes (western spadefoot toad)
Lineage: Eukaryota; Metazoa; Chordata; Amphibia; Anura; Pelobatidae
Source: the annotation of a GenBank genome assembly